CGUGCAAGCCGGGGCGUUAGCGGUGCCUUGUACCUGCAAUCCGCUAUAGCAGGGGUGAUGCCGCGUCUGAGGGUGUUUCUCUGCGAAGCUGCCCUGUUCAGCCGGUGUUGAAGUCCGGGUCUCAUGCAAUGUUUCCUUUGUGAACCGUGUCAGGGCGGGAACGCAGCAGCACUAAGCGAGGUUGAGACAUGUGCCGUGAGGGUGCCUGGAUGGAGCUGUCCUGUUCAGGUAACGUUCGUGGAGCGCAUUCGAAGCGCGGCGC
This 262-nucleotide signal recognition particle RNA is filed under the name bovine gut metagenome. Its description in RNAcentral is "Bacterial large signal recognition particle RNA". It matches the Rfam family "Bacterial large signal recognition particle RNA". From Rfam's summary of the family: The signal recognition particle (SRP) is a universally conserved ribonucleoprotein involved in the co-translational targeting of proteins to membranes. Archaeal SRP consists of a 7S RNA and homologues of the eukaryotic SRP19 and SRP54 proteins. In most bacteria, the SRP consists of a 4.5S RNA and the Ffh protein (a homologue of the eukaryotic SRP54 protein). The record is from RNAcentral.